AAGAGUCUUUCUCUCCUUAUCCCCCGAGCAUUUCGGUCCCUCGUGAUUCGACUUCUCUUUCUGUAGCUUAGUAUAGUAAGGUGAGCGCUGAAGCGCUGCACGAAUCUUUCUUAGAAAGAUUCAGCGACGAAGUUCUGCCCCUGCAGAGCCCGACUCCUAGCUAAAACCCCCUUGUAAGUUUCGUCGAAGGAAAAUAGAAUCGUUAGAAGCAAGCGCUGCCCGAUUUUGGAAUCAUCACCUUAACAAGUAGUGGCGCAUGAGCAUAGGUGUGAUGUUUUGGACGAGGGAUUACGGAUAUAGGCCUGUAGAUAUGAAAUAAUGUAGUAAGGCUUAUAUUGUACUGUUUAUGCUUUUGAUCUGUACGAACAUGACAUCCCGAGUCUUUUAAUGAAAUACAUUUCUAUGGAAAUGCUUUUGAUAAA
Long non-coding RNA from Lactuca sativa (garden lettuce), 422 nucleotides. RefSeq lists it as uncharacterized. The record is from RefSeq and is a predicted model, not a curated record. NCBI's taxonomy places the organism in Eukaryota, Viridiplantae, Streptophyta, Magnoliopsida, Asterales, Asteraceae.